CACGUAGGGGCCAAGCGUUGUCCGGAUUUAUUGGGCGUAAAGAGCUCGUAGGCGGUUCAGUCAGUCGGGUGUGAAAACUCCGGGCUUAACUCGGAGAGGCCACCCGAUACUGCUGUGACUUGAGUCCGGUAGGGGAGUGGGGAAUUCCUGGUGUAGCGGUGAAAUGCGCAGAUAUCAGGAGGAACACCGGUGGCGAAGGCGCCACUCUGGGCCGGAACUGACGCUGAGGAGCGAAAGCGUGGGGAGCAAACAGG
This 254-nucleotide ribosomal RNA is filed under the name uncultured bacterium. Its description in RNAcentral is "partial 16S ribosomal RNA". It matches the Rfam family "Bacterial small subunit ribosomal RNA", at positions 524 to 776 of the family's 1533-position model. The record is from RNAcentral.